This 1093-nucleotide ribosomal RNA is filed under the name Bacillus sp. EGY-WC*Q5. Its description in RNAcentral is "bacterial SSU rRNA". It matches the Rfam family "Bacterial small subunit ribosomal RNA", at positions 401 to 1476 of the family's 1533-position model. The record is from RNAcentral. Lineage: Bacteria; Bacillati; Bacillota; Bacilli; Caryophanales; Bacillaceae.
GUGAGUGAUGAAGUUCUCCGAUCGUAAAACUCUGUUGUUAGGGAAGAACAAGUAUUGUUGGCAAUACGGGCGGCUCCUUGACUGUACUCACCAGAAAGGCGCACGGCUACUAACGUGCCAGCAGCCGCGGUAAUACGUAGGUGGCAAGCGUAGUCCGGAAUAUUGCGCCGUAAAGCGCGCGCAGGCGGGUUUCCUAAGUAUGACUUGAGAGCCCACGGCUCACCCGUGGAGGGUCAUUGGAAAUUGGUGAGACUUGAGUGCAGAAGAGAAGAGCGGAAUUCCACGUGUAGCGGUGAAAUGCGUAGAGAUGUGGAGGAACACCAGUGGCGAAGGCGGCUCUCUGGUCUGUAACUGACGCUGAGGCGCCGAAAGCGUGGGGAGCCGAACAGGAUUAGAUACCCUGGGUAGUCCACGCCGUAAACGAUGAGUGCUAAGUGUUAGAGGGUUUCCGCCCUUUAGUGCUGCAGCUAACGCAUUAAGCACUCCGCCUGGGGGAGUACGGCCGCAAGGCUGAAACUCAAAGGAAUUGACGGGGGCCCGCACAAGCGGUGGAGCAUGUGGUUUAAUUCGAAGCAACGCGAAGAACCUUACCAGGUCUUGACAUCCUCUUGCCCUCCCUAGAGAUAGGGAUUUCCCUUCGGGGACAAGAGUGACAGGUGGUGCAUGGUUGUCUUCAGCUCGUGUCGUGAGAUGUUGGGUUAAGUCCCGCAACGAGCGCAACCCUUGACCUUAGUUGCCAGCAUUCAGUUGGGCACUUUAAGGUGACUGCCGGUGACAAACCGGAGGAAGGUGGGGAUGACGUCAAAUCAUCAUGCCCCUUAUGACCUGGGCUACACACGUGCUACAAUGGAUGGUACAAAGGGUUGCUAGACCGCGAGGUUACGCCAAUCCCAUAAAACCAUUCUCAGUUCGGAUUGUAGGUUGCAACUCGCCUACAUGAAGCCGGAAUCGCUAGUAAUCGCGGAUCAGCAUGCCGCGGUGAAUACGUUCCCGGGCCUUGUACACACCGCCCGUCACACCACGAGAGUUUGUAACACCGGAAGUCGGUGAGGUAACCUCUGGAGCCAGCGCCUUUAAUAGGGGGCCCCCCAUU